Molecule: long non-coding RNA, 1218 nt
Filed under: Salmo trutta (river trout)
Lineage: Eukaryota; Metazoa; Chordata; Actinopteri; Salmoniformes; Salmonidae
Description: lncRNA (ENSSTUG00000018016.1)
Source: RNAcentral
CAGCUCAAUGGAGAGGCUAUAAGGUAGGGGUGUAAUGAUUCACUGAACAGAACAAUGGCCAUAGUAAACCAUUGCACACCCUACUGUAAGUAGAGUAUGGGCCCAUUCCACAGGGGCAGAGAUGGCGGUGUCUGGGCGACGCCAGCAGGGAGAGUUGAUAUAGUACAAGAAGAGUGUGAUCAAGAGGGACCUGGAGAUGGGGAUCGUUAUGACAGUGUUCCGCUAGAAGGCAGAGUGCCUCACUGUGCGGGUCAUCAUGGAGACCAGGCAGGUGGCCUGGACUCGAACAGCAGACAAGACUGAUGGUGUCUGAAAUUGGAGCAAGGAAAGAUGUCCUGGACUUUGAGCAGUUUCAUAAAUUCUACAAUAUUCUAAUGUUCGAUCAGAAAGAUGUGAGUCAGAAUUUCACUGUACUAAUGCACUCUGUACAAAAUGCUGAACAUAUACUACGGUUUCACCACCAUUUACCGACAGUUCUACUCCUCUUACAACUUAUGUACUGUAUGUGUUGAUAUUGAAAGUCUUAGCUAGUAUAUCACAUUUUGCAUGUUUAAUAAUAUGAUGAGACAGAUUUGUGCUGUCAACCUGGCUGUGUGUGUGACUGUGUAUUGACUUGUGACUUGUGUGUAUACGUUUCAUCAGAUUCUCGAGGAGUUUAAAAGGGAGUCGUGUGCUUUUUUCAUGGUGUGGGUCUUUCUAUUUCUUUGAAAUACUAUAUAUAGUUCUACAAUCACAAUCAAUCAUUUUCUCUGCUUAUACCGGUAAGCUUGUCUUGUUGAUGGUAUGUUGGUGUGUUGUGGUUCUAUCCUACUGUAGUAGUACAGAUAAACCGUAUGCCUCUGCAGUUCUUCUCCAUGAUUUCCAACGGUUUCUUCUGUACCAGCAGAAGGUUAAGAAUCAAGCUAUCUUUCAAUUAUAAAAUUGGUAAAACUGUAUUUUUCAGUCAGUGUUUAAUCUACCUUUCAUAAUUCCCUUUAUUGUACUUUUUUCUCUCUUUUCCUCGCUCUCUCUGCUUCUGUCUCUCAGGAGUCGUGAACCAGGUCAGAGAGCUGAUGACCACCUUUAUAGACAAAACCAUGAGGAAGACCAACGAUCCAGAGUUCACUGUCAGCAAGGUGGGACAUGGUGUGUGAUUUGUCUGUGUAUGGGGAGUGGAGAAUAGUGUGUGAUGUUUGUCACAGCUCUCUCUCUCUCUCUCUCCCUCUCUCUCUCUCUCUC